GUGGGGGUGGGGAGCGGUCACCGUAGGCUUUUAAACUGGGAAGUGGCUUGAUUCAUUAUAUGUUUAAAGAUACCUCUGGAUGCUUGACUGAGAGGACUCCAGGGGGCUAACGUGGAGGCAGGGAGACAGUUGGGAGCCUCCGGCAUUUGCAGGGUCUCUUAGUCUCUUGCUGAAACCAUUAUCUCAGCCCACCUGUACAGGGUCUUGAAAUCCUGUUAAUCUCUUGCAAAGUUCUUCCUUGACAAAACUCUCCCUUGAGAGACUGUCCUUGUAGUGGAUGUCUGCUGUCUCUCCAUGACCAGCAUCCACUUCUCCUUGUGCUGUAACAGCUUCGUACCUGGCCUUGAUAAAGGAUCCUUCCUCCACUCCCACUUCCGUGCUCAGCUCGGGGGAGCUCACUUUGUCUCCAGCUCUAGAGCAUAUCUUUAUCAUAUGAGCAAGGAGCCGCCACUGAAGAGUUUUAGUAUGUCCCUAUGAGGACAGAGUCAAUGGCAGGAUGUGGUGAUAGAGGGCAUCCUUGUCUUGUUCCUGUUUUCAGAGGGAUGGGGUUCAGUUUUUGCCCAUUGAGUAUGAUGUUGGCUAUGGGUUUGUCAUAUAUGGCCUUUAUUAUGUUGAGGUAGUUUCCUUCUAUGCCCAUUUUGUUCAGAGUUUUUAUCAUAAAUGGCUGUUGGAUCUUGUCAAAUGCCUUCUCUGCAUCUAUUGAGAUGAUCAUGUGGUUUUUAUUCCUCAGUUUGUUGGUGUGGUUUAUCACGUUGAUUGAUUUGCGGAUGUUGAACCAUCCCUUAUUUAUUUUCCAAUUCUUUCUUAGAGCCAUCAGUCAAUCACAUACAUGGUCUGCCUCCCAAGUUAUCACAAGGGACAGUGUGACCAAAUGUUUGCUGCUGCCCACUAGGGAGAACCAUGCUAGUGGCCUCUGACAGCAGUUUCCAGGCGCCUCAUCUUCCAACUGCUAAGCUAAUGCUGCAUAUUUUCAGUUGUUGUUAUAAAAUCACCCCACUCCUGGUACUAAUUUCUGUGUUGCAAACAGAGCUAGGCUAUGUUGUAAUAACAAACGAAUCCUGAGGUGUCAAUUGUCUAAUGCAGACAAUGCCUACUUCUUGCUCAUGCCACGUGCCCAGUGUUGGCUGGCAGGAGAUGUGCUCUGCCCCCACCUCAGGGAGGCUCCACCAGAAAGUGCUUACGGUCCUCUCAGCACAUGGCUUCUGGGUGGAUGGUGGCUGAGUGACAGUGGGGAGAUCAUGCGGGCUACUCCCUGCCUCAGCCUGCCUCUGAGCCAGGACUAAUGUCCUGGCCCUGUCUACCUGCAGGAAAACGGGACAGAGUCCCCUUGGAUGCCCAAAGGGAGGACCAGAUAUGAGUGAGCACCACAAGUUUCUACCACAUUUACUUAAUAUUGUCUUUCAAUUGAAUGACUUUUACAUAAAAAGCUCUCAUUUAAAUUAGAACUUGUACUUCUUGAGAGAAAUUAUAUGUAUAAGGAAACUUAACAUAACUGGUAUCAUUUGCCAAAAAUAGAUGGUAAGCACAAAUAUAUCAGAAACAGAAACGAAGUACACUUUAAAAUUUUACGUAGAUAUUGUCGAUAAAGGGUCCAAGUCGAAAACCACUCUUUCUUUAUAAAAAACAAGGAGGGAAGCUAACGAUAGAGAGGUGUUAAAGAUACACUAGCCCCAAACUCAGACACUCUCCUUGGCAAAAUCAGACAGAAAGAGAAGUAAAAUGUGAGUAACGUCCUAAUUAUGUGACUCGGUGUUAUUUAACGCCCUGUCCACGUAGCUUCUAGAAUGAUGUAGUAUAUACCAGCCGUACUCACACCUGUGAGCUACUCUGACCUAAAGCAUGUCUGGGUGAACAGAAUCAGAUAUUUGGGGCCUGGUCUGACCGCCACAUUUGUAGGCAGAUUCCUAUA
Molecule: long non-coding RNA, 1909 nt
Filed under: Equus caballus (horse)
Lineage: Eukaryota; Metazoa; Chordata; Mammalia; Perissodactyla; Equidae
Description: lncRNA (ENSECAG00000056861.1)
Source: RNAcentral